GCAGAGCACUCCUACUGGAGGCAGCAGUGGGGAAUAUUGCACAAUGGGCGCAAGCCUGAUGCAGCCAUGCCGCGUGUAUGAAGAAGGCCUUCGGGUUGUAAAGUACUUUCAGCAGUGAGGAAGGUGGGUAUGUUAAUAGCAUACUCAUUUGACGUUAGCUGCAGAAGAAGCACCGGCUAAACUCCGUGCCAGCAGCCGCGGUAAUACGGGGGGUGCGAGCGUUAAUCGGAAUUACUGGGCGUAAAGCGCAUGCAGGUGGUUUGUUAAGUCAGAUGUGAAAGCCCGGGGCUCAACCUCGGAAUUGCAUUUGAAACUGGCAAACUAGAGUACUGUAGAGGGGGUAGAAUUUCAGGUGUAGCGGUGAAAUGCGUAGAGAUCUGAAGGAAUACCGGUGGCGAAGGCGGCCCCCUGGACAGAUACUGACACUCAGAUGCGAAAGCGUGGGGAGCAAACAGGAUUAGAUACCCUGGUAG
RNAcentral lists this ribosomal RNA (473 nucleotides) under uncultured bacterium. RNAcentral's name for it is "bacterial SSU rRNA". It matches the Rfam family "Bacterial small subunit ribosomal RNA", at positions 328 to 793 of the family's 1533-position model. The record is from RNAcentral.